UUAAUCGGAACUUCAGAGUUUUCAGCUUCAGUCGAAUAUGGAGUUGGAUCAAGAGUGUUCAACCUAACUGUUAGGGCUCUAUUAUCCUCACAAGCAGCGGCUACCUCAGUCUAGACAGUCGCUAAUUGAUUUUGUAAUUGUGCCAACAAUCGGGUGAGACCUUCAAUUUGGGAAGGCUCCAUGGCAAGGGUACUAGCACUAGAAGCAGUAACACGACCACUAUGCAAUUGCAUACACGGUAACACUAGCUAAGUGAAUUGCGCUAUGGAGAUC
This 273-nucleotide long non-coding RNA is filed under the name Olea europaea (common olive). Its description in RNAcentral is "long non-coding RNA (OEUR_LNC007059)". Lineage: Eukaryota; Viridiplantae; Streptophyta; Magnoliopsida; Lamiales; Oleaceae. The record is from RNAcentral.